AAAAAAACACAUCAGCGUACUAAAGCAAAAGAAGAAGUGACGUGAUGGAUGGCGGCGAGCGAGACGGCGGAAAGACUCCGGAGAUUGACAACGUUUCAGGUGCUCGCCAGACACAUGCCGAGAGAUGCCGGCGGCCAUGAUUUGAACAUUAAUCACAUGAGCGACGCAGCAGCGCAGCGCGCCUCGCGUGCUUGUGGAUGGCAGGUGGCGGCAAAAGUGAAGCAGUUUUGCCGUGGGGGUUGGGUGGAAAGCCAUCAUGCAGAACAG
Long non-coding RNA from Hippocampus comes (tiger tail seahorse), 267 nucleotides. RefSeq lists it as uncharacterized. The record is from RefSeq and is a predicted model, not a curated record. Lineage: Eukaryota; Metazoa; Chordata; Actinopteri; Syngnathiformes; Syngnathidae. The transcript is spliced from 3 exons.